This 323-nucleotide long non-coding RNA is filed under the name Capsicum annuum. RNAcentral describes it as "long non-coding RNA (CANN_LNC000669)". The record is from RNAcentral. Lineage: Eukaryota; Viridiplantae; Streptophyta; Magnoliopsida; Solanales; Solanaceae.
ACCACUAUUGUGUGAUUGAGUUCUCAAAUUUUAGAGAACAUGCUUAUGUACCUUGGUGUCCAUCAACCUUUAUUGCUUGUUGAUCCAGAGCGUUAAUCGCGUAAAUGCUUAGUGUCCACCAUCCCUUGUAUUGAUGGUUAUCUUGGCCUAUUAAAGCUAGUGUUAAGUCAUAUUACUUUGAAUUUGGAUGUUACAAGUGUUUGUGUCCACCAUAUUUGGAUGUUACUAGUGUUUGUGUCCACCAUCACUUGUAUUGAUGGUUAUUUUGGCCUGUUAAAGCUACUGUUAAGUCAUAUUACUUUGAAUUUGGAUGUUACAUGUGU